UCUUCAAUUGAGAAUAUAAGUUGGUAUAUUAAGUCUUACUCAUGGUAUGAUGAUGCUUUUAACUUAUUGUAAAAGCAUGGAUUUUACAUUAAAAUAAUAUAAAGUUAUGAAUUCUAUAUACACUUUUUUUUUCUUCUGAAUAUGGCACUUGACAAAAA
This is a long non-coding RNA of Telopea speciosissima, 158 nucleotides long. RefSeq lists it as uncharacterized. Lineage: Eukaryota; Viridiplantae; Streptophyta; Magnoliopsida; Proteales; Proteaceae. The record is from RefSeq and is a predicted model, not a curated record. The transcript has 3 exons.